Molecule: long non-coding RNA, 210 nt
Organism: Thalassophryne amazonica
Lineage: Eukaryota; Metazoa; Chordata; Actinopteri; Batrachoidiformes; Batrachoididae
Exons: 2
Source: RefSeq, a predicted model, not a curated record
AGGUGCUUAAAAAGAUAUCGGCCUACAUCCAGGAGCAGAAUGAGAAGAUCUACGCGCCCAGAGGUCUCCUCCUUACAGACCCCAUAGAGAGAGGCAUGAGGGUCCUAGAGAUCAGUGUGUUUGAGGACCAAGGUUCAGGCAGCUCCAGUCCCAGCAGCAGCAUGUCAUCAGCAGGAAGCAGUGCCCGAUGACUGGAGGUGCAGCGCCAGG